This 66-nucleotide transfer RNA is filed under the name Marmota monax (woodchuck). RNAcentral's name for it is "tRNA.Ala". The record is from RNAcentral. Lineage: Eukaryota; Metazoa; Chordata; Mammalia; Rodentia; Sciuridae.
GGUUAUAGCUCAGUGGAGAGCGCUUGCCUAGCAUGUGUGAGGCACUGGGUUCAAUCCUCAGCACCA